AAAUGGACAUUAUGCCUCACUCAUCCCAUUAUACAGAAUGAAAGCAAUAUUUUUCAUACUAUGCAUUCUCUUGGCCUCCAUUCUCGCUGUUCACCCUUCAACCGUGGCUCCACAACUUGCUGAGAAGGAGGCAAUUCGAUCUCCAGCUCGAUGUGCACUUGAUCCUAAUCGGAGCUGCACACCAAAGAGGCCUCCUAAUUGCCCAAUUUACCGUCCGAAUUGCAAUAAUCCCAUGCCAUAAGAUAUUAUGUUUUUGGAAUAAUAUGUCUAAUAAAGUUGCCAACUUUUGUAUUUUGUUGCUAAUGAAAAUUUAAUCUGAAGUGUGGCAAAUGAUUUGUGUUAUGAAUUGUCUGAUUAAUGUGAUUGUGAUGUAAUUUUCUACAGUACUACUAGACCUUGCUACAACCACUGAUGUAAAUAGAUUGUACUAAACUUAUUCACUACAUGCUGGUAUAUUGUGUCCAAAACAGGAAACAUUAUAUUCG
Long non-coding RNA from Hibiscus syriacus, 485 nucleotides. RefSeq lists it as uncharacterized. NCBI's taxonomy places the organism in Eukaryota, Viridiplantae, Streptophyta, Magnoliopsida, Malvales, Malvaceae. The transcript has 2 exons. The record is from RefSeq and is a predicted model, not a curated record.